Long non-coding RNA from Hibiscus syriacus, 1348 nucleotides. RefSeq lists it as uncharacterized. Lineage: Eukaryota; Viridiplantae; Streptophyta; Magnoliopsida; Malvales; Malvaceae. The transcript has 5 exons. The record is from RefSeq and is a predicted model, not a curated record.
UGAUCAUCAUCAAACCAUAGACUACUAAUUUCUUCCCCUGUACUAAAUCCCCAAUACUGGAAAUUUCAAUUCAAAACCCUAAAAACUUCAGUUCCAGUUUUUUUUCUAUUCACGUUCGAGUUUCCAGAGCAGUCUCCUGGGUUUUCAGUUUGUUCACACAAGAGAAUGUUGUUGGGCCAUGCUAGUGUCCAUCUGAACUUCGUUCGUCAAAGGACCAGCUACUUGCUGAUCCUGAAGCGCUGGAAGAUGACUUUAAAUUAGACAGUUCUGAACCGAUUUUGUAUGUGGCUUCCUUUGAUGAACUCGCAAGAAAUUAUCUUCAAUAUGACACCAUUAUAUGGGUUUCUAUAUCGUUAUUGCUGGUUUUGGCUUGGGUUGUUGGCGUCAUCAUGUUGCUCUACUUGCCCUUUAGAAGAUAUGUGCUUCAGAAGGACAUUUCGUCACGCAAGCUGUAUGUCACACCUAGUGAAAUAGUUUGAGGUUUCGAGGCCUUCUUUCAUACCCUUUUGGGGCACAAUAACAGUAGAGAAGCAUGUACCUCUUUCACAGGUCAUUGAUAAUAUAAUUGAACAAGGCUGGUUGCAAUCAGUGUACGGUAUCCUUACUUUCAGAGUCGAAAGCAUAGCCCAUGGAAAAGCGGCACCUGUUGAUGAACUACAGGUUCAAGGGGUUGCUAACCCUGCACUUCUGAGAAAGGCAAUGGAACUGAUUUCUUAUGUUAUCUUUUUUCUUUCUUUCUUCUUUUCCUUAAAAGUACACCUGGGAUUAUAAUCUUUGGAAAAUGAUGAGAUUUAUUCUCAUAAACAAUUAGAAUGAACUUUGUUUAAAUGUUCUGCUGAAUUGCUGUUGUGCAUGCAAGGCAUCCUUAUGGAGAUUGAAAAUCAGAAGUUCAUACUUGUGUUUAUGCAAAAACUUGGAGUUGUUUAUGCCUGGAGAGUUGUUUAUUCUCAUAAACGAUGCCUGGAGAGUUGCUUAUGCAAAAACUUGUCGAAGUCACUAAAUCAGUAAAGAAAAUCGAGUUUCUCAUCGAGAAGUCCCAAGCUUCUUCCGAGGGUAGCUGAGAAAGGUGUAGAAAGUCUCAAUACCGAGAAAUGGAUAGAUAACUUCAUAUCGUCGAGCUUCAAGAGACUUUUCUUUUGUUUAAUAAGCAAAAGCCUUUGUGUUUCUUCUUGGUGUUCUAUAAGUAGGGUUUCAUCAGUUCAUUGUUCCUCUUUUUCUUUGCUGUUUUUUCACUCGACAGGUAACGUUGUAACCAUAGGCCUUAAUCUCGGACUUUGUAAAUUUUCAUGUAGUAAAAUUUGUACCAUUGUCCAAGGUUUAUGAAAUCAAGUCACAAAAUUAUGCUUCA